GACGAACGCUGGCGGCGUGCUUAACACAUGCAAGUCGAACGGAAAGGCCCUGCUUUUGUGGGGUGCUCGAGUGGCGAACGGGUGAGUAACACGUGAGUAACCUGCCCUUGACUUUGGGAUAACUUCAGGAAACUGGGGCUAAUACCGGAUAGGAGCUCCUGCUGCAUGGUGGGGGUUGGAAAGUUUCGGCGGUUGGGGAUGGACUCGCGGCUUAUCAGCUUGUUGGUGGGGUAGUGGCUUACCAAGGCUUUGACGGGUAGCCGGCCUGGGAGGGUGACCGGCCCACAUGGGGAGAGAGAUCGGGCCGAGCCCCAGAGGGGGGGAGGAAGGGGGGAAUAUUGCAAAGGGGGGGGAGGCCUGAUGAACACACCCGGGGGGGGGGAGGGGGGCUUGGGGUUUGAAACCCGUUUCCGCGGGGGAAGAGGGGGGAGGGAGGGAAUGGGAAAAAGAGCCCCGGGCAAACUAGGUC
RNAcentral lists this ribosomal RNA (469 nucleotides) under uncultured bacterium. RNAcentral's name for it is "partial 16S ribosomal RNA". The stretch from base 14 to 371 matches the Rfam family "Bacterial small subunit ribosomal RNA", at positions 41 to 398 of the family's 1533-position model. The record is from RNAcentral.